GAUGAACGCUGGCGGCGUGCCUAAUACAUGCAAGUCGAGCGAACAGACGAGGAGCUUGCUCCUCUGACGUUAGCGGCGGACGGGUGAGUAACACGUGGAUAACCUACCUAUAAGACUGGGAUAACUUCGGGAAACCGGAGCUAAUACCGGAUAAUAUAUUGAACCGCAUGGUUCAAUAGUGGAAGACGGUUUUGCUGUCACUUAUAGAUGGAUCCGCGCCGCAUUAGCUAGUUGGUAAGGUAACGGCUUACCAAGGCAACGAUGCGUAGCCGACCUGAGAGGGUGAUCGGCCACACUGGAACUGAGACACGGUCCAGACUCCUACUGGAGGCAGCAGUAGGGAAUCUUCCGCAAUGGGCGAAAGCCUGACGGAGCAACGCCGCGUGAGUGAUGAAGGUCUUCGGAUCGUAAAACUCUGUUAUUAGGGAAGAACAAAUGUGUAAGUAACUAUGCACGUCUUGACGGUACCUAAUCAGAAAGCCACGGCUAACUACGUG
Molecule: ribosomal RNA, 497 nt
Filed under: uncultured bacterium
Lineage: Bacteria
Description: partial 16S ribosomal RNA
Rfam family: Bacterial small subunit ribosomal RNA
Source: RNAcentral